UUCAUUGACAAGGGACAAGAACUAUGUGCAGAUUAUUCAGAAAAUACAUUUACUGAGUACAAGAAAAAAUUGAUGCUGAAUUGAAGAAUAUCCUGUAGUCCUGAAGCAUGUUUAUUAACUUUGACCAGAGUUGGAGCCACCCAGGGGAAUGAUCUCUGAUGACCUAACCUAAGCAAAACCACUGAGCUUCUGGGAAGACAACUAGGAUACUUUCUACUUUUUCUAGCUACAAUAUCUUCAUACAAUGACAAGUAUGAUGAUUUGCUAUCAAAAUAAAUUGAAAUAU
This 286-nucleotide long non-coding RNA is filed under the name Homo sapiens (human). RNAcentral's name for it is "non-protein coding lnc-ADAMTS3-1:1". Lineage: Eukaryota; Metazoa; Chordata; Mammalia; Primates; Hominidae. The record is from RNAcentral.